AAUGAACGCUGGCGGCAUGCCUAACACAUGCAAGUCGAACGAUCCCUUCGGGGAUAGUCUCGCAUGGGUGCGUAACGGGUGGGGUCCUGCCCUUAGGUUUGGAAUAACUCAGAGAAUUUUGUGCUAAUACCGGAUAAUGUCUUCGAACCAAAGAUAUAUCGCGUUUGGAUGUGCGCGCGUUGGAUUAGCUUGUGGGGGGGGUAAGGGCCUACCACGGCGACGAUCCAUAGCUGGUUAGAGAGGAUGAUCAGCCACACUGGGACUGAGACACGGCCCAGAAUCUUACGGGAUGCAGCAGUGGCGGAUAUUGGACAACCGGCGAAAGCAUGAACGACCACUGCCGGGUAAGCGAUGAAGGCCUUAAGGUUGUAAAGCUCUUUUACCCGGGAUGGUAUUGACGGUACCGGGAGAAUAAGCCCCGGCUAACUCCGUG
This 433-nucleotide ribosomal RNA is filed under the name uncultured bacterium. RNAcentral describes it as "partial 16S ribosomal RNA". It matches the Rfam family "Bacterial small subunit ribosomal RNA", at positions 29 to 507 of the family's 1533-position model. The record is from RNAcentral.